This 21-nucleotide unclassified non-coding RNA is filed under the name Mus musculus (house mouse). RNAcentral's name for it is "oocyte_clustered_small_RNA64". The record is from RNAcentral. Lineage: Eukaryota; Metazoa; Chordata; Mammalia; Rodentia; Muridae.
UGAUGACAGCUGAGACAGACA